UGCCCCAUAGCUCAACUGGUAGAGCGCUGGACUCAUAAUCCAGAGGUCCCAGGUUCGACUCCUGGUGGGGCAC
RNAcentral lists this transfer RNA (73 nucleotides) under Candidatus Kerfeldbacteria bacterium. RNAcentral's name for it is "tRNA-Met". It matches the Rfam family "tRNA". From Rfam's summary of the family: Transfer RNA (tRNA) molecules are approximately 80 nucleotides in length. Lineage: Bacteria; Candidatus Kerfeldiibacteriota. The record is from RNAcentral.